Molecule: long non-coding RNA, 557 nt
Filed under: Taeniopygia guttata (zebra finch)
Lineage: Eukaryota; Metazoa; Chordata; Aves; Passeriformes; Estrildidae
Description: lncRNA (ENSTGUG00000018917.1)
Source: RNAcentral
CGCCAAAACUCCUUCAAAAUUCCGUUUAUUGAAACCCCCGAACCCGCAGUGAUUUUCUCCACGGAAAGCGCAGAAAUUCCGGGAUUUUCCCUGGGAAUUCCAGGCUUUUCCUGGAAUUCCAGGAUUUUCCUGGGAAUUCUGACUCUCAGGAGGAUCUCCCAACAUCCAAACCCCCAAAAAAAUCACCAAAACUCCUUCAAAUUCCGGUUAUCGACACCACUAAAAAUAACAGAUUUUUUUGGGGACAACUUUGAAAUUCCAGGAUUUUCCCUGGGAAUUCCGGGAUUUUCUUGGGAAUUCCGGGAUUUUUUCCUAGGAACUCCAGGAUUUUUCUCGGGAAUUCUGAAUCUCGGGAGAUCCAAACUCCCCAUAAAAUUCACCAAAACUCCUUCAAAAUUCCGUUUAUUGAAAACACAAAAAACCGUGGGAUUUUUAUAUAGAAAACCUAAAAAUUCCGGGAUUUUUCCCAGGAAUUCUGGGAUUUUUCCCGGGAAUUCCGGGAUUUUUUUCUAGGAAUUCCAGGAUUUUUCCCGGGAAUUCUGACUCUCGGGAGGAUC